CGUGUAGGCGGUCUGUUAAGUCAUGUGUGAAAUCCCUCGGCUCAACCGGGGAACGACGCAUGAAACUGACAAGCUAGAGUACCAAAGAGGGGGGUGGAAUUCCCGGUGUAGCGGUGAAACGCGUAGAUAUCGGGAGGAACACCGGUGGCGAAGGCGGCCCCCUGGUUGGAUACUGACGCUGAGACGCGAAAGCGUGGGGAGCAAACAGGAUUAGAUACCCUGGUAGUCCACGCUGUAAACGAUGGGCACUAGGUGUCCGGGGUAUUGACCCCCUGGGUGCCGCAGCUAACGCAUUAAGUGCCCCGCCUGGGGAGUACGGUCGCAAGAUUAAA
This 332-nucleotide ribosomal RNA is filed under the name uncultured bacterium. RNAcentral describes it as "bacterial SSU rRNA". It matches the Rfam family "Bacterial small subunit ribosomal RNA", at positions 568 to 898 of the family's 1533-position model. The record is from RNAcentral.